CUGUCACGCCCCGGGACCGAUGCCAAUUUGGCCCGACCCGAGCACGACAAACAGACGCCGAACGGACAGAGUUUCCCCUAUCCGCCCAAGGCUCAUCACACGUACAUUUUCAUCAUUAGAGAAAAGCACUAGCGGAAACAUACACAAACAGCUUACACGAGGGUAAGCAAUAGCCAUAAGUGAAAGAAAGGAAAACUAAACAUUCACAAGUAAUAUGAUUCAUUUUAGAUCAUAUACAUUACAUCCAUCUUUUACAUUUAAGAUUCUUGCUGUUCUUACAUAAUCUCAUCAUUUCUUUCUUACAACACAUUUACCUCAAAAUAAGCUUUACAUUCUUUCUUUACAUCACAAAUCAUCAAAUACAAAAGAUGAUAAAAGGGUGUCUACUAACAAAAUGUAAACCCAACUCUGGUGGCCUCUGACUAAGGCGCGAUACCUUUACCUCGGUCGCUCGCCGGCUCGCUCGGUCCCGGCUCUGUGGAAAUAGUGGGGUGAGAACUACAACAAAGUUCCCAGUGGGUUCGGCCUCAAUAUCACCGACUUUCCCACUAGGACUAACUCAGGCAUAAUAGAAAGGAUAAGCUGAAAUAUGGUAACCAAUCUAUAACAU
RNAcentral lists this long non-coding RNA (610 nucleotides) under Ananas comosus (pineapple). RNAcentral describes it as "long non-coding RNA (ACOM_LNC023340)". Lineage: Eukaryota; Viridiplantae; Streptophyta; Magnoliopsida; Poales; Bromeliaceae. The record is from RNAcentral.